ACUCCUACGGGAGGCAGCAGUAGGGAAUUUUCCGCAAUGGACGAAAGUCUGACGGAGCAAUGCCGCGUGAGUGAUGAAGGUUUUCGAAUCGUUAAAAGGCCUCUGUUGUAAGGGAAGAAUAGCAAGAAUAGGAAAUGAUUCUUGUCUGACGGUACCUUACCAGAAAGCCACGGCUAACUACGUGCCAGCAGCCGCGGUAAUACGUAGGUGGCAAGCGUUAUCCGGAAUUAUUGGGCGUAAAGCGCAUGUAGGCGGCCUUUUAAGGUCUGAUGUGAAAGCCUGUGGUCUCAACCACAGAAUUGCAUUGGAUACUGGNGAGCUAGAAUCUUGGAGAGGUAAGUGGAAUUUCAUGUGUAGCGGUGGAAUGCGUAGAUAUAUGAAGGAACACCAAUGGCGAAGGCAGCUUACUGGACAAGUAUUGACGCUGAGAUGCGAAAGUGUGGUAGCAAACAGGAUUAGAUACCCUGGUAGGCUCUG
Molecule: ribosomal RNA, 477 nt
Filed under: uncultured bacterium
Lineage: Bacteria
Description: bacterial SSU rRNA
Rfam family: Bacterial small subunit ribosomal RNA
Source: RNAcentral